Molecule: ribosomal RNA, 550 nt
Filed under: uncultured archaeon
Lineage: Archaea
Description: bacterial SSU rRNA
Rfam family: Archaeal small subunit ribosomal RNA
Source: RNAcentral
UCGGGGCGCAGCAGGCGCGAAACCUUUACAAUGCGGGCAACCGUGAUAAGGGAACCUCGAGUGCCUGUAAACGCAGGCUGUUCAGGUGUUUAAAACGCACCUGGAGAAAGGGCCGGGCAAGACCGGUGCCAGCCGCCGCGGUAAUACCGGCGGCUCGAGUGGUGGCCGCUUUUAUUGGGCUUAAAGCGUUCGUAGCUGGGUUGUUAAGUCUCCUGGGAAAUCUGGCGGCUUAACCGUCAGGCGUCUAAGGGAUACUGGCAAUCUUGGAACCGGGAGAGGUGAGGGGUACUUCGGGGGUAGGGGUGAAAUCCUGUAAUCCUCGAGGGACCACCUGUGGCGAAGGCGCCUCACCAGAACGGCUUCGACAGUGAGGGACGGAAGCUGGGGGAGCAAACCGGAUUAGAUACCCGGGUAGUCCCAGCCGUAAACGAUGCGCGUUAGGUGUAUCGGUGACCACGAGUUACCGAGGUGCCGAAGGGAAACCGUGAAACGCGCCGCCUGGGAAGUACGGUCGCAAGGCUGAAACUUAAAGGAAUUGGCGGGGGAGCAC